Long non-coding RNA from Pogona vitticeps (central bearded dragon), 2238 nucleotides. Lineage: Eukaryota; Metazoa; Chordata; Lepidosauria; Squamata; Agamidae. The record is from Ensembl.
AUUUAUUUACAAUCCAAGGCAGCAGAGCCAUCAAAUUCACAUGUAACUAUAGUGUCCCCUUUCCAGUGUUAACAGUUUCCAGAAGCUGACAUUUCAUUUGUGCGUAUGUAUGUGUAUUUUACUCAAGUUGGGUUCUCCCACAAAAACAGGGAAGAGCUAUUUACAGGUGAGACUAGUCUGCUUCCUUAUGCCCUGAGGGUUUGGUGAGGGAGGAGCUCAGGUUUAAAUCUUCAACGUCAGCCUAACUGCCUCUCGCUGCAGGAUUUCUCUGAGCUCCUUGUGGAGAGAGGAAGUUCCUGGGACCUCUGUUCUGAGAGCAAACACUCACGAUGGGGAGGAACUCAGAACCACUUUGUAAAGAAGUAUGACAACAGGAGCAGAGACAUGGAUAUGGAAAGAGCUGAAGACUUCAGGACCCUUCGAGCAAAAUUCCAAAAUGAAUCCAGCAAGCCCUCAGGAGAAAUCAGCCUACGGCAACAUCUUGGUGCCAGUUCAACACCUUCUCCUGAACCCAAGACUGUGCAUCGAGUACAACCUCCAGAAAUCAUCCCACGGCAAGGUCCCACUUCUAAGGCUGCCCCUUGUGCCAAGCCCAGGUCCUCACACCUGUCACAAGUCCCAGAUCAUGAGCAAAAGCCUGCAUAUAUCAGCUUAGCAGCAGCUGAAUCACAACUCAGUGGCACAUCCCAGAAAUCUGAGACAACACCUAUCAAACCUAUGGUCCUGCCCAGAGUCAAACUUUGUGAGUUGUCUGAAAUAAGGAAAAAGAAUGAAAAGAAAGCUACGGAGUCUCCAGAAACUCCGUGGAAAGCAUCUGUGCCUGUGGCCCAUCCUCAAAAACAACGUCCAGUGUCCUGUGGCUACUCUCAAGAAGCCGGGUUAGCAGAUCAUUCUUUCCACAGCACUCUGCGCAUUUGGGAAAGUGCUGCAGCAUUUCAGGGAGACCAGAUGUCUUCCACAUUGCCACCCCAACGCCCAAAACGGACAACAUCUCUUGCACAGCUAAGCACUAGCAAUAAUAAUUCUGUCACUGUGGAGGAGAAAGCUGAAAUGUGUGAAAAUGUCCAAGCCUUGACACUUGCUGCACCACAGAAGCCUUCUCAAGGGGACCUGACUCCUUUUCCCGCGGUGUCACCACCUCUUCCACCGAGGGGCCAAACAGGUUCAGAGAAUUUGACACCUGGAGGUCUUAAAAUUAUAAAUUCUUCCCCCAGUACUAAUAAGAUGGGCAGACCAAGCAAGACUCUGCAGUCUUUAACUGAAAGGCAAAAUGAUGCUGAAGAACUCAAGCUUCCAAAAACUAAGCCACUUCCGUCCAUUGUAUCACUUGGUCCUCCACCAAAGAAACCAGCAAGGCCUCCCAAGGUAGAUCUUAGUCCUUUCUGUCGGAACCUUCCAGAUGCUACAGAUGAUGCAUAUAUCACUCCUGAAAUAACGGAUGACUUGAACAUGUAUGAAGAAUCAAUGUCUUACCUGACCCAGCCAGAGAGUUCCAUUAAUUCUGAUCAGGAACUUGCACACCGUGAGUUCUAUCAAUUGCUUCCUUCCUUCACACAUUCCAUUGUUAGCUAUCUAUUUCCAGAGUACAUCAGUUUGUAGUAAGUAUAAGCUUGGCUAGCCCUGCAGUGGGUAGCAAUGGAUAUCUUCAGUAUGAUGUUUUACCCCACAAUUCCACAUGAAAAUACAUGCACACUGUUGUGUAUUUCUGUACACAUUUCUCUUAAUUCUUAUUUGUAUAUAUUUGUCCAACACACAUUUUUUACAAGCAUUUCUCCCUAAUGUAUUGAAAUGUUCUACUAGCGCUGUAAUCUUGUUGUGGAGCUAUGAGUACAUAAUAUGAAGCUGCCUCAGCAGUAGGAAGAAUCACAACAAGGUAAAAGUGCUAUUCACAAAGCAUUUCUGCAUGCUUGUUGUGCAACGGGCACACUGUAAACUAUGUGACUGAUUGCACAACCAAAGAGUGCAAUGAUUACUGUUUGGAUGUAACACUAGGUAUACUUAUGCUGGCAUAACUUUAUGUUACACCAAAAUGAACACUUGUUUUAAAUGUGUUUUAGUACUGAUUUUGUUUACCAUUUUUAUAUAUACUAUUUGUUUCAUUUUUUAAAAGAUUUGUAUGCUUACUGUUUUCAGCUUUUAAAUACUGUCUUUUUAAUUAUGUACGUUACCUUGGGUCCUUUUAAAAGAGAAAGGCAGGAUAAAAAUAUUUUCAAUAAAUAAAUAAAUGCACAGUAAACA